GGGGAUAUAGUUUAAUUGGCAGAAUACAUGUUUUGCAUACAUGUGGAACGGGUUCAAAUCCCGUUAUUUCCACCA
Molecule: transfer RNA, 75 nt
Filed under: Bacilli bacterium
Lineage: Bacteria; Bacillati; Bacillota; Bacilli
Description: tRNA-Ala
Rfam family: tRNA
About the family: Transfer RNA (tRNA) molecules are approximately 80 nucleotides in length. Their secondary structure includes four short double-helical elements and three loops (D, anti-codon, and T loops).
Source: RNAcentral